RNAcentral lists this ribosomal RNA (778 nucleotides) under uncultured bacterium. RNAcentral's name for it is "bacterial SSU rRNA". It matches the Rfam family "Bacterial small subunit ribosomal RNA", at positions 8 to 796 of the family's 1533-position model. The record is from RNAcentral.
AGAGUUUGAUCAUGGCUCAAUUGAACGCUGGCGGCAUGCCUAACACAUGCAAGUCGAACGAGAGUAGCAAUACUCUAGUGGCGGACGGGUGAGGAAUACGUAGGAAUUUGCCCUUAAGUGGGGGAUAGCCCGGGGAAACCCGGAUUAAUACCGCAUGAUCUCGAAAGAGCAAAGUGGGGGAUCGCAAGACCUCACGCUUUUGGAGAAGCCUACGUCGGAUUAGCUAGUUGGUGAGGUAAUGGCUCACCAAGGCUACGAUCCGUAACUGGUCUGAGGGGAUGAUCAGUCACACCGGAACUGAGACACGGUCCGGACUCCUACGGGAGGCAGCGUGGGGAAUAUUGGACAAUGGGCGCGCCUGAUCCAGCAAUGCCGCGUGUGUGAAGAAGGCCUUCGGGUUGUAAAGCACUUUAAGUUGGGAAGAAAAAACUCGCUCUAACACAGUGAGUCUUGACGGUACCGACAGAAUAAGCACCGGCUAACUCUGUGCCAGCAGCCGCGGUAAUACAGAGGGUGCAAGCGUUAAUCGGAUUUACUGGGCGUAAAGCGUGCGUAGGCGGUUCGUUAAGUCGGUUGUGAAAGCCCUGGGCUCAACCUGGGAAUUGCAGUCGAUACUGACGGACUAGAGAACGGUAGAGGGAGGCGGAACUCCAGGUGUAGCGGUGAAAUGCGUAGAUAUCUGGAAGAACACCGAUGGCGAAGGCAACCUCCUGGGCCUGUUCUGACGCUGAGGCACGAAAGCGUGGGUAGCAAACAGGAUUAGAUACCCUAGUAGUCC